CCUACGGAUGCAGCAGUGGGGAAUAUUGCACAAUGGGGGAAACCCUGAUGCAGCCAUGCCGCGUGUGUGAAGAAGGCCUUCGGGUUGUAAAGCACUUUCAGUAGGGAGGAAGGUAGUGUAGUUAACACCUGCACUAUUUGACGUUACCUACAGAAGAAGCACCGGCUAACUCCGUGCCAGCAGCCGCGGUAAUACGGAGGGUGCGAGCGUUAAUCGGAAUUACUGGGCGUAAAGCGCAUGCAGGCGGUUUGUUAAGUCAGAUGUGAAAUCCCCGGGCUCAACCUGGGAACUGCAUCUGAUACUGGCAAGCUUGAGUCUCGUAGAGGGGGGUAGAAUUCCAGGUGUAGCGGUGAAAUGCGUAGAGAUCUGGAGGAAUACCAGUGGCGAAGGCGGCCCCCUGGACAAAGACUGACGCUCAGAUGCGAAAGCGUGGGGAGCAAACAGGAUUAGAUACCCGGGUAGUC
RNAcentral lists this ribosomal RNA (464 nucleotides) under uncultured bacterium. RNAcentral's name for it is "bacterial SSU rRNA". It matches the Rfam family "Bacterial small subunit ribosomal RNA", at positions 338 to 795 of the family's 1533-position model. The record is from RNAcentral.